Molecule: non-coding RNA, 73 nt
Organism: Trichonephila clavipes
Lineage: Eukaryota; Metazoa; Arthropoda; Arachnida; Araneae; Nephilidae
Source: the annotation of a GenBank genome assembly
GGGGUGUAUAGCUCAGUAGUAGAGAAUUCGUCUGCAGAUCGAGAGAUCUCCGGUUCAAACCCGGGUACCCUCU